UACCGAGGAGCCAAGCGUUGUCCGGAUUGACUGGGCGUAAAGCGCACGCAGGCGGUUUGGCGCGUGGGGUGUGAAAUCUGGCCGCUUAACGGCCAGGCGCCAUCCCAUACGGCCGGACUGGAGCCUUGCAGAGGUCGGUGGAAUUGCCGGUGUAGUGGUGAAAUGCGUAGAGAUCGGCAGGAACACCCAGGGGGAACCCAGCCGACUGGGCAUCUGCUGACGCUGAGGUGCGAGAGCGUGGGGAGCGAACCGG
This 253-nucleotide ribosomal RNA is filed under the name uncultured bacterium. RNAcentral's name for it is "partial 16S ribosomal RNA". It matches the Rfam family "Bacterial small subunit ribosomal RNA", at positions 524 to 776 of the family's 1533-position model. The record is from RNAcentral.